Molecule: ribosomal RNA, 823 nt
Filed under: Lotinia verna
Lineage: Eukaryota; Fungi; Ascomycota; Pezizomycetes; Pezizales; Pyronemataceae
Description: LSU rRNA
Rfam family: Eukaryotic large subunit ribosomal RNA
Source: RNAcentral
UGCCUUAGUAACUGCGAGUGAAGCGGCAAAAGCUCAAAUUUGAAAUCUGGCGUCUUYGGCGUCCGAGUUGUAAUUUGGAGGGAUAUCUUCGGAGUUGGCGCCGUCCUAAGUUCCUUGGAACAGGACGUCAUAGAGGGUGAGAAUCCCGUGCCUGGAUGGCUGUCCAUCUCCAUGUGAAGUGUCUCCGACGAGUCGAGUUGUUUGGGAAUGCAGCUCAAAAUGGGUGGUAAAUUUCAUCUAAAGCUAAAUAUUGGCGAGAGACCGAUAGCGCACAAGUAGAGUGAUCGAAAGAUGAAAAGCACUUUGAAAAGAGAGUUAAAAAGUACGUGAAAUUGUUGAAAGGGAAGCGCUUGCGACCAGACUCGAUCUUAGGGGAUCAGCCGGGCUUCUGUCUGGUGCCCUCCCCUUUGAUUGGGCCAGCAUCGGUUCUGAGGGCGGGAUAAAAGGUUUGGGAAUGUGGCUCCCUUCGGGGAGUGUUAUAGCCCAGAUCACAAUGCCGCCACUUGGGACCGAGGACCGCGCUUCGGCUAGGAUGCUGGCAUAAUGGUCUUAAGCGACCCGUCUUGAAACACGGACCAAGGAGUCUAACAUCUAUGCGAGUGUUCGGGUGGAAAACCCUUGCGCGUAAUGAAAGUGAACGGAGGUGUGAACCCAGCAAUGGGCGCAACAUCGACCGGUCCUGAUGUCUUCGGAAGGAUCUGAGUAAGAGCAUAGCUGUUGGGACCCGAAAGAUGGUGAACUAUGCCUGAAUAGGGUGAAGCCAGAGGAAACUCUGGUGGAGGCUCGCAGCGGUUCUGACGUGCAAAUCGAUCGUCAAAUUUGG